RNAcentral lists this ribosomal RNA (918 nucleotides) under uncultured bacterium. RNAcentral describes it as "bacterial SSU rRNA". It matches the Rfam family "Bacterial small subunit ribosomal RNA", at positions 69 to 983 of the family's 1533-position model. The record is from RNAcentral.
GCAGCACGGACUUCGGUCUGGUGGCGAGUGGCGAACGGGUGAGUAAUAUAUCGGAACGUAUCCAUAAUGGGGGAUAACUAAUCGAAAGGUUGGCUAAUACCGCAUACGCCCUACGGGGGAAAGCUAGGGACCUUCGGGCCUGGCGUUAAUGGAGCGGCCGAUAUCUGAUUAGCUAGUUGGUGGGGUAAAGGCCCACCAAGGCGACGAUCAGUAGCUGGUCUGAGAGGACGACCAGCCACACUGGAACUGAGACACGGUCCAGACUCCUACGGGAGGCAGCAGUGGGGAAUUUCGGACAAUGGGCGCAAGCCUGAUCCAGCCAUUCCGCGUGAGUGAAGAAGGCCUUCGGGUUGUAAAGCUCUUUCGCAAGGGAAGAAAGAUUACUCUCUAACAUAGAGUGAUUAUGACGGUACCUUGAUAAGAAGCACCGGCUAACUACGUGCCAGCAGCCGCGGUAAUACGUAGGGUGCGAGCGUUAAUCGGAAUUACUGGGCGUAAAGCGUGCGCAGGCGGUUUUGUAAGUCAGAUGUGAAAUCCCCGAGCUCAACUUGGGAACUGCGUUUGAAACUACAAGACUAGAAUAUGUCAGAGGGGGGUAGAAUUCCACGUGUAGCAGUGAAAUGCGUAGAGGUGUGGAGGAAUACCAAUGGCGAANGCAGCCCCCUGGGAUAAUAUUGACGCUCAUGCACGAAAGCGUGGGGAGCAAACAGGAUUAGAUACCCUGGUAGUCCACGCCCUAAACGAUGUCUACUAGUUGUUGGUGGAGUAAAAUCCAUGAGUAACGCAGCUNACGCGUGAAGUAGACCGCCNGGGGAGUACGAUCGCAAGAUUAAAACUCAAAUGAAUUGACGGGGGCCCGCACAAGCGGUGGANUAUGUGGAUUAAUUCGAUGCNACNNGAAAACCUUACCUGGCCCUU